CCCUUAGACGUUCUGGGCCGCACGCGCGCUACACUGACCAGUGCAACAAGCAUCCGUCCUUGGCCGACAGGCCCGGGCAAUCUUUGAACGCUGGUCGUGAUGGGGAUAGACUUUUGCAAUUUUUGGUCUUCAACGAGGAAUUCCUAGUAAACGCAAGUCAUCAACUUGCAUUGAUUACGUCCCUGCCCUUUGUACACACCGCCCGUCGCACCUAACGAUUGAAUGGUCCGGUGAAGCCUCCGGAUUGGCGCGCACCUCGGUGCCGCCGAGAAGUUGGCUAAACCUUACCAUUUAGAGGAAGGUGAAGUCGUAACA
RNAcentral lists this ribosomal RNA (315 nucleotides) under uncultured eukaryote. RNAcentral's name for it is "partial 18S ribosomal RNA". It matches the Rfam family "Eukaryotic small subunit ribosomal RNA", at positions 1470 to 1796 of the family's 1831-position model. The record is from RNAcentral.